UCCUGCUUUGCAGAAAGAAGAAAAACAAAAAGAACUGAAGCCCACAGAGGCUGUAAGUGACUUGCUUGAUUGUGCGUAAUUAGUAGGUGGCUCAGCUGGGAUCAAAUCUCAAGAAGAAAUGUGCUAAAUGGUGUGAGUCAACUCCGUGAAAGACAUGCCUCAAGGGCCACCUCUCCAUUUGAGUCCCGUAAAAUAUGCCAUACUGAUUUAACUGGAUAUCUCUGAAAAGCUCAGGAGACUUUAUGCUACAAUGAAUUGCAACUAGAGGUCUCUGUGCAAGUGAAGUUCAGAUCAGCAAAUGAAUGAAAUUCAAAUUAGGAAUGGAUUGUCAUGAGAGAGAAAGUCAACUUUCGAAAGAGCAUGUUUUUCUGCACUUAUUUUGACUGAAGCAGGUGGACAUCUGUUUUGUUUCUGAAAUGACUCAACUCUUUUGUCUGCUACUGUCACCAGGU
Lemur catta (Ring-tailed lemur) is the source of this 452-nucleotide long non-coding RNA. RefSeq lists it as uncharacterized. Lineage: Eukaryota; Metazoa; Chordata; Mammalia; Primates; Lemuridae. The record is from RefSeq and is a predicted model, not a curated record. The transcript is spliced from 3 exons.